UCUGCCUACUGGAGACAUUGUGACAUAUCUCUGCACUGAUCACCCAGGUGAUGUCACUUUUGUCAAGGAUAUGGCUACAGGGACAUUGUGACAUGUCACUGCACUGAUCACACAGCUGAUGUAACUCUUGUCUAAGAUCUGGCUACAGGAGGCUUGUGACAUAUCUCUGCACUGAUCACCCAGGUGAUGUAACCCUUGUCUAAGCUCUGCCUACAGGGGCAUUGUGACAGAUCUCUCCACUGCUCACCCAGGUGAUGUAACAAUUGUCUGGGCUUUGCCUACAGGAGGCUUUGUGAUAUAUAUUUCCACUGAUCAAACAGGUGAUGUAACCCAUGUCAAGGUUCUGCUUAUAG
Molecule: long non-coding RNA, 353 nt
Filed under: Homo sapiens (human)
Lineage: Eukaryota; Metazoa; Chordata; Mammalia; Primates; Hominidae
Description: HSALNT0409337
Source: RNAcentral